Molecule: ribosomal RNA, 1100 nt
Filed under: Bacillus sp. (in: firmicutes)
Lineage: Bacteria; Bacillati; Bacillota; Bacilli; Caryophanales; Bacillaceae
Description: bacterial SSU rRNA
Rfam family: Bacterial small subunit ribosomal RNA
Source: RNAcentral
GGGGGGGGGGGUGGCUAUACAUGCAAGUCGAGCGAACUGAUUAGAAGCUUGCUUCUAUGACGUUAGCGGCGGACGGGUGAGUAACACGUGGGCAACCUGCCUGUAAGACUGGGAUAACUUCGGGAAACCGAAGCUAAUACCGGAUAGGAUCUUCUCCUUCAUGGGAGAUGAUUGAAAGAUGGUUUCGGCUAUCACUUACAGAUGGGCCCGCGGUGCAUUAGCUAGUUGGUGAGGUAACGGCUCACCAAGGCAACGAUGCAUAGCCGACCUGAGAGGGUGAUCGGCCACACUGGGACUGAGACACGGCCCAGACUCCUACGGGAGGCAGCAGUAGGGAAUCUUCCGCAAUGGACGAAAGUCUGACGGAGCAACGCCGCGUGAGUGAUGAAGGCUUUCGGGUCGUAAAACUCUGUUGUUAGGGAAGAACAAGUACGAGAGUAACUGCUCGUACCUUGACGGUACCUAACCAGAAAGCCACGGCUAACUACGUGCCAGCAGCCGCGGUAAUACGUAGGUGGCAAGCGUUAUCCGGAAUUAUUGGGCGUAAAGCGCGCGCAGGCGGUUUCUUAAGUCUGAUGUGAAAGCCCACGGCUCAACCGUGGAGGGUCAUUGGAAACUGGGGAACUUGAGUGCAGAAGAGAAAAGCGGAAUUCCACGUGUAGCGGUGAAAUGCGUAGAGAUGUGGAGGAACACCAGUGGCGAAGGCGGCUUUUUGGUCUGUAACUGACGCUGAGGCGCGAAAGCGUGGGGGAGCAAACAGGAUUAGAUACCCUGGUAGUCCACGCCGUAAACGAUGAGUGCUAAGUGUUAGAGGGUUUCCGCCCUUUAGUGCUGCAGCUAACGCAUUAAGCACUCCGCCUGGGGAGUACGGUCGCAAGACUGAAACUCAAAGGAAUUGACGGGGGGCCCGCACAAGCGGUGGAGCAUGUGGGUUUAAUUUCGAAGGCAACGCGAAGAACCCUUACCAGGUCUUUGACAUCCCUCUGACACUCCUAGAGAAUAGAGGCGUUCCCCCUUUCGGGGGACAGAGUGACAGGUGUGCAUGAUGUCGUCAGCUCGUGUCCGUGAGAUUGUUUGGGGUUAAGUUCCCGCGCCAAGCC